RNAcentral lists this ribosomal RNA (373 nucleotides) under uncultured organism. RNAcentral describes it as "bacterial SSU rRNA". It matches the Rfam family "Bacterial small subunit ribosomal RNA", at positions 526 to 896 of the family's 1533-position model. The record is from RNAcentral.
CAGAGGUCCCAAGCGUUGUUCGGAUUCAUUGGGCGUAAAGGGUGCGUAGGUGGCGAUGUAAGUCUGGUGUGAAAUCUCGGGGCUCAACCUCGAAAUGGCAUUGGAUACUGCGUUGCUUGAGGAUUGUAGAGGAGAGUGGAAUUCACGGUGUAGCAGUGAAAUGCGUAGAUAUCGUGAGGAAGACCAGUUGCGAAGGCGACUCUCUGGGCAAUUCCUGACACUGAGGCACGAAGGCCAGGGGAGCAAACGGGAUUAGAUACCCCGGUAGUCCUGGCAGUAAACGGUGCACGUUUGGUGUGGGCGGGUUCAGACCCCGUCCGUGCCGGAGCUAACGCGUUAAACGUGCCGCCUGGGAAGUACGGUCGCAAGAUUA